RNAcentral lists this ribosomal RNA (497 nucleotides) under uncultured bacterium. RNAcentral describes it as "partial 16S ribosomal RNA". It matches the Rfam family "Bacterial small subunit ribosomal RNA", at positions 28 to 507 of the family's 1533-position model. The record is from RNAcentral.
GAUGAACGCUGGCGGCGUGCCUAAUACAUGCAAGUCGAGCGAACAGACGAGGAGCUUGCUCCUCUGACGUUAGCGGCGGACGGGUGAGUAACACGUGGAUAACCUACCUAUAAUACGGGGAUAACUUCGGGAAACAGGAGCUAAUACCGGAUAAUAUAUUGAACCGCAUGGUUCAAUAGUGAAAGACGGUUUUGCUGUCACUUAUAGAUGGAUCCGCGCCGCAUUAGCUAGUUGGUAAGGUAACGGCUUACCAAGGCGACGAUGCGUAGCCGGCCUGAGAGGGUGAUCGGCCACACUGGAACUGAGACACGGUCCAGACUCCUACGGGAGGCAGCAGUAGGGAAUCUUCCGCAAUGGGCGAAAGCCUGACGGAGCAACGCCGCGUGAGUGAUGAAGGUCUUCGGAUCGUAAAACUCUGUUAUUAGGGAAGAACAAAUGUGUAAGUAACUAUGCACGUCUUGACGGUACCUAAUCAGAAAGCAACGGCUAACUACGUG